RNAcentral lists this long non-coding RNA (231 nucleotides) under Elaeis guineensis (African oil palm). RNAcentral's name for it is "long non-coding RNA (EGUI_LNC060983)". Lineage: Eukaryota; Viridiplantae; Streptophyta; Magnoliopsida; Arecales; Arecaceae. The record is from RNAcentral.
UAAUUGAUCUUUUCUUCCUAACUCUCUCUCUUUCUCUCUGGUUCUAAUGUCAAAAAUCCUAGCAUCUCCUAGUGUCUCCAUCGUUUGCUUCCACAUUUCUUCUUCAAUUUUUGGAUUAACACCAGGUCCACGCAAGGUGAUCCUCAUCUGGUACAAGAGUUGCACUGGAGGUUCAAUAAUUUGGUUUCAGAGCAGUGCAGUAGGUUGAGCAGCGUAGUAGGUUGGGCAUGG